Molecule: microRNA, 21 nt
Filed under: Bombyx mori (domestic silkworm)
Lineage: Eukaryota; Metazoa; Arthropoda; Insecta; Lepidoptera; Bombycidae
Description: bmo-miR-2999
Source: miRBase by way of RNAcentral
CUGCGACGGACUAGACGCGCA